Molecule: unclassified non-coding RNA, 329 nt
Filed under: soil metagenome
Description: partial contains 5.8S ribosomal RNA, internal transcribed spacer 2, and large subunit ribosomal RNA
Rfam family: 5.8S ribosomal RNA (bases 1-120)
Source: RNAcentral
GAUGAAGAACGUAGCGAAAUGCGACAAAUAAUGUGAAUUGCAGAAUUCAGUGAAUCAUCGAAUCUUUGAACGCACAUUGCGCCCCCUGGUAUUCCGGGGGGCAUGCCUGUCCGAGCGUCAUUACAACCCUCAAGCUCAGCUUGGUGUUGGGCCCCGCCGCCCCGGCGGGCCCUAAAGUCAGUGGCGGUGCCGUCCGGCUCCGAGCGUAGUAAUUCUUCUCGCUCUGGAGGUCCGGUCGUGUGCUCGCCAGCAACCCCCAAUUUUUUUCAGGUUGACCUCGGAUCAGGUAGGGAUACCCGCUGAACUUAAGCAUAUCAAUAAGCGGAGGA